Molecule: RNA transcript, 3687 nt
Organism: Drosophila novamexicana
Lineage: Eukaryota; Metazoa; Arthropoda; Insecta; Diptera; Drosophilidae
Gene: Ranbp16
Gene name: ran-binding protein 16
Exons: 18
Source: RefSeq, a predicted model, not a curated record
CUAGUUCAGUUUUUGUUUAUAUUCUUAGUUUAGAUUUUGAAUAUACUAUUACCGCUGCAAAAGCUAAUUAGCUAAAGUUGCAUUGUCGAAACAGUGGAGCGCUCCGGAGUACUUAGUUCUUAAAGUUUAGAACCCUUGUGUGCACACAAUAAUAAUAAAACAAAAAAGUUGGCUUAUCAAAUAACAAACAUACAUAUAAAACAUUAUGGAAAUACAACAAUUAGAAACAUUGUGCAAGCAGCUGUACGAAGCAACCGAUGCUAGCAUACGCGCUGAUGCUGAAAAGAGACUUGUGUCUUUCGUCAAUAGCCAGGACGCCUUAUCCAAGUGUCAGCUAUUAUUAGAUCGAGCUGACUCCAGCUACGCACAACUACUUGCCGCAUCUACCCUAUCAAAACUUAUACAGGGGAUAACUCUUGGACAACGCAUUGAUAUUCGCAGCUAUGCCCUUAACUACUUGGCAACCAGGCUUAAUUUGCAGCACUUUGUAGUUCAAGCGCUUGUAACACUUCUAGCUAAAAUCACAAAAUAUGGGUGGUUUGAUUCAUACAAGGGCGAAUUUAUAUUUCAAAACAUACUUGAGGACGUGAAAAAGUUUUUACAGGGUUCAGUUGAGCAUUGUACGAUCGGCGUGCAAAUCCUUUCACAGCUGGUAUCAGAAAUGAAUUCAAUUGUGGAAUUAGAUGCUAACUUAUCAUUUUCAAAAAAUCGAAAGAUAGCUACAUCUUACCGAGAUCAGCAACUGUACGAUACUUUUCUACUUUCCUGCUCUCUGUUGAUUAAUGCACGAGACAACAGGAAGAAUUUAAAUUUUUUGGACGAAUCGCAACAGGCGCUAAUAUCCCAAGUCUUACGAUUAACAAAAAACUGCCUGAGCUUUGACUUUAUUGGUAGUUCCACUGAUGAGUCAGCUGAUGAUAUGAACAAUGUCCAGAUACCAACAGCUUGGCGUCCUGCUUUUCUUGACACAAACACAUUAAAAUUAUUCUUCGAUUUAUAUCAAAUUUUACCGAAUGGUUUAGCUAGUUAUUCACUUUCGUGCCUAGUACAAAUGACAUCUGUACGUCGAUCUCUGUUUAGUAACUCAGAGCGAACGAAAUUUCUGACCAACUUAGUUGAAGGAGUCAAAAAUAUACUCAGAAACUUACACGGUCUUAGCGAUCCAGAUAAUUACCAUGAAUUUUGUCGUUUGCUAGCGCGUCUGAAAUCCAAUUAUCAACUUGGGGAACUCAUUGCUGUUCCUUGCUACCCCGAAGCCAUAGAAUUAAUCGCGAAGUUUACGGUACAAUCGUUACAUAUGUGGCUCUUUGCUCCAAAUAGCGUGCACUAUUUACUUACUCUAUGGCAGCGUAUGGUUGCUUCAGUACCGUACGUCAAAUCGCCGGAUCCGCAUUUACUUGGCACAUAUACACCUGAAGUGAUAAAAGCAUACAUUGAGUCCCGUCUAGAGGCUGUGCCUUUAAUUGUACGUGAUAAUAUGGAGGAUCCCUUAGACGAUCUUUGUAUGGUACAACAACAGCUUGAACAGUUAUCGGUAAUCGAGCGUUGCGAGUACAAUAAGACUUGCAACCUUCUUGUACAACAUUUUGAUCAAAAGGCACGUGAGUACGAAAAUCUCAUACAGAGCCUCAAUGCAAACCCUAUAGAUAUUACGGUCCAUGAGUUGCAAUUGACUUGGUUGGUUUAUAUAAUUGGUUCGGCCAUUGUGGGGAGACUUUCUGUGACCACCAGUGAUGAACAUGACAAUAUGGAUGCAGAGCUUGUUAUUCGUGUACUGCAACUUAUGAGUUUAACUGACUCACGUCUUCCUCAAACUGGUUGUGAGAAGCUGGAACUGGCCAUUUUGAGCUUUUUAGAUCAGGUUCGGAAAAUGCAUAGCAGUGACCAGGCACAAAAAGCAACUGUUUACAAGCGCCUUAAUGAAGUUUUUGGACUAAAUGAUGAGCAAAUGUUGCUAAGUUUUAUAAACCGUAAAAUCAUAACUAACCUGAAGUUUUGGGGUCGUUCUGAGCAAAUAAUUACAAAAACUUUAGUGUUAUUAUCCGAUCUGUCAGUGCACUUUAAUUCAGUGCGUAAAUUGGCUCGCUUAGAGGAAGUUCAAUUCAUGUUAACACAUCACACAAGCGAACACUUUCCUUUUCUUGGUACGAGCUCAUCUCUGAACGAAAUGCGUUGUCGGACAAUGUUUUACACUGCCUUAAGUCGUUUAUUAAUGUUUGAUUUGGGCGAGGAUGAAGAACGUUUCUACAAUUUUCUUACACCACUUACAAAUCAGUUUGAAUCACUUGGAAACGUGCUAAUGGAUACAAAAAGUUUUCCAAAUGAUGAGGUCAAAAAAGCGAUUAUUGGGUUAGCCCGCGACUUGCGUGGUUUAGCAUUGCCGCUUAAUGCUCGUAUCCAAUACACUAUGCUUUUUGAAUGGCUUUACUACACUGAUUACUUACCCAUAUUGCUUCGUGCGGUGGAACUGUGGGCGCAUGAGCCUGCUAUUACUACCCCUGUCUUAAAGUUAUUUGCUGAGUUAGUGCAUUGCCGCACACAGCGUUUAGCCGGAAACGUUUCUAGCCCUAUGGGUAUUUUGCUGUUUCGCGAGGCAUCAAAACUUAUUUGCAUAUAUGGCAAUCGUAUUCUACAUCUGGAGGUGUCAACUGAUCAACUUUACCCAAUGAAACUAAAGGGAAUAUCAAUCUGCUUCUUGAUUUUAAAAAAUGCGCUUGGAGGCAACUAUGUCAACUGUGGUGUGUUUAAAUUAUAUGGUGAUGAUACAUUACAUAAUGUUCUUGACAUUGUCGCCAAGCUUAUUCUGUCCAUACGGCAAAGUGAUUUAUUGGAAUACCCGAAAUUGGCCUCGGCUUAUUACAAUUUAUUAAACUGCCUAUCUCAGGAUCAUGUGACAUAUCUUGCCACCUUAGAACCACGCGCAUUUGUGUAUGUAUUGGAAAGUCUGACAAAAGGCCUUGCCGCACUAGAUUCGGCAAUUUAUAUCAGCUGUUGCACUAUUUUAGAUAGCAUUGUAUCGUACAUCUUUAAGCAGCUUCAACUAAAAAUUUCAACAUUCCCAAACAAGAAGCUACGAAGUUUGACACGAGAAAAUUCACAAUUUCUCAAGGUAGUUGAACUAAAUUCUGAGCUACUGCAAAGCAUGAUGUCCUCAUUGUUGAACAAUGUACUGGCUGAGGACUGUCGGAACCAAUGGUCUAUGUCUCGCCCAUUAUUGGUACUUAUACUGCUCUACGAGGAUUAUUAUCGCUCACUGAAGGAAACUAUUAUACGUGGACAACCUGUUGAAAAACAACAGACAAUGGCCCAGUGGUUUGAAGACUUGAUGCUUGGUAUAGAGCGCAAUGUGUCCAGUAAAAAUAAGGAAAAGUUCACACAAAAUCUAUCGACGUUUCGACGAGACGUAGUUAAUCUACCAAAAUCGGCAACAUAUUCGACAGAAAGUUUUUACCAGGCCUAUACUGAAACAAACUACUCAAUAUCGGUAUAAAUGUCGGAAAAAUUUGAUGUCUUCUACUAGUGUUACCUGUCAAAAACCUAUCAUAACACAAUUGAUAAAGUUUUUACCAGGCCUAUACUGAAACAAGCUACUCAAUGUCGGUAUAAAUGUCGGCAAAAUUGGAUGUCUUCUACUAGUGUUACCUGUCAAAAACCUAUCACAACACAAUCUAUGUAAGAAUUAUAUAU